Molecule: long non-coding RNA, 242 nt
Filed under: Lathyrus oleraceus (garden pea)
Lineage: Eukaryota; Viridiplantae; Streptophyta; Magnoliopsida; Fabales; Fabaceae
Description: Pisum sativum (pea) long non-coding RNA (PSAT_LNC024172)
Source: RNAcentral
AAUUCCCUGUAUUCGAAGCGGACGAAGAUGAUGUUGAAGGGAUUCCUGGCGAGAUUUCCCGACUUCUUGAGCAAGAAAAGAAGAUCACUCAGCUGCAUCUCGAGAAUCCGCAAAACAGCCAACUGGGGCAUUUAAAGAAAAAAACAAAAAACAAAAAACAAAAAAAAGAGGAGGGUGAAAAAUCAAAAGAAAUCAAAAGAAAUCGAAAUCAAAAGAAAGAAAAAGAAAGAAAGAAACAAAAG